AGAGUUGAUUCUGGCUCAGGAUGAACGCUAGCGACAGGCUUAACACAUGCAAGUCGAGGGGCAGCAUAGAAGUAGCAAUACUUGGUGGCGACCGGCGCACGGGUGAGUAACGCGUAUGCAACCUACCUAUCAGAGGGGAAUAACCCGGCGAAAGUCGGACUAAUACCGCAUAAAACAGGGGCACCGCAUGGUGAUAUUUGUUAAAGAAAUUCGCUGAUAGAUGGGCAUGCGUUCCAUUAGGUAGUUGGUGAGGUAACGGCUCACCAAGCCGACGAUGGAUAGGGGAACUGAGAGGUUGGUCCCCCACACUGGUACUGAGACACGGACCAGACUCCUACGGGAGGCAGCAGUGAGGAAUAUUGGUCAAUGGGCGGGAGCCUGAACCAGCCAAGUCGCGUGGAAAAGGAAGAAGGAUCUAUGGUUCGUAAACUUCUUUUGCAGGGGAAUAAAGUGCAGGACGUGUCCUGUUUUGUAUGUACCCUGAGAAUAAGGAUCGGCUAACUCCGUGCCAGCCGCAGC
This 519-nucleotide ribosomal RNA is filed under the name uncultured bacterium. Its description in RNAcentral is "bacterial SSU rRNA". It matches the Rfam family "Bacterial small subunit ribosomal RNA", at positions 8 to 518 of the family's 1533-position model. The record is from RNAcentral.